RNAcentral lists this small RNA (1338 nucleotides) under Histoplasma capsulatum var. duboisii H88. Its description in RNAcentral is "Histoplasma capsulatum H88 hypothetical RNA". Lineage: Eukaryota; Fungi; Ascomycota; Eurotiomycetes; Onygenales; Ajellomycetaceae. The record is from RNAcentral.
CCCCUUUCGGAUGUGAGUGUUAACGAGUUCAUCCGCUCCGAUGGGAUCUUCGACGAAUUGGAAAUUGAACCCUGUUCCCGAGCGGUUGAAAUCCACAGCGAAUCUGACAUAGAUUUGGAGUUCUCUCCAAGGACAGGUUGCGUGUCUGGGUGUACCGGUGCUAUUUGAGCCGGUGCAGGUUGGGAAAUUUGCGAUAUUGCCCAUUUCCGUGGAGAGGAAUGGGGGAAGGUGCGGUAGCCCGGGUCGUUGGCGAUGUCAUCCGGCACAACGUAAAGAGGAGGAGGGGGUAGGGUCGUCUCCCCAAAGUGGAUGUCCCCGAGAAUUUGAUGAUUUUGUGGCGGAACGGCUACUUCCCGAUCCCUAGUGGCUCCCUGUAUCUCAGAAAAAAUAUUGGAGAAGGCUUCGCAUAUUGUUCAGAUAGUGGGCAUUUUAGCCCACCGCAUACUCAGUACGCAGUGAAUCGCUAUUCUUAUCAUCCUUGGCAAUACACUUGAGCACUUCACAAAACGGUGGUGAAACUCGUUCCGCAUCGAUAGCGGAAUUCGAUCCUUCAUCGAAAUUGGCAUUUGGAGCAGUUGCUCCCCCUUGCUUAUUCCUACCUCUCAUGAUCUUGAUAUCUGCAUUUAAAGAUAUCGCAACCGCCCUGCGACGAAAUAAAGGGAAUUCCAGGAAUAUGGGCUAUAUUGGUGUCGGAAAUUGGGCUAUUUGCGUUGUAGUACGGGUGAAGAAAGUUGACUGAAAUGAGGGGGGGGCUUUGCUGUCCUUGUCCUUGUCCUUGUCCUCGUGCUCUCUUGGUCUCUGUUAUCCACGGGCUCCCAUACUUCUCCCAUUCUUCAAGAUGAUAUGACUAAACGAGUGCCAAAGAUUUCCGGCGAAAGUCUCCUUUGCGACCAAACGCGUUCGGAUUGAUUAGAGGCGUUAUGUCCUUUAAAAUGAGCGAUCAGAUAUCGACGACGGCCAAGUUUGCGGAGACAGCCACUAGCCCAACUCUUUAAGGAUGCUGCGUCCAUGGGUAUUAUGCUGCUAGAUGAAGGGAUUCACCGCUUUACUUUGAUAAAAAACGCAUUUCUGACCGUUUACGCCAGCCUAUUUACUCCCUCUGCACAGGACUGGGGGGGUUUCAGUACAAUCCCAACACCGGGCAUGAUUUUGCUCUUGAGGACAGCGUCAAUGUAGUCAUCACCCAUGGACCACCCAGAGGUGUUAUGGACUACACUGUCAGCCAUCAGAGAGUGGAAUGUCCCCAUCUCUUCACAGCCAUUGCAAGAAGCCGACCACAGAUGCACUGCUUUGGCCACAUUCAUGAAGGUUGGGGCACGAAAACUGUUAUAUGGAGCG